AUGAGCAGCGGGUCGAUCUCGUCGGACAGCGAGAUGCUGAUGGAGGAGAUCAUCUCCCUGCGGAGAGAGCGGAAAGACCUCAUGGAGUCUCUUACUCCCAGGAUUUCUUGCUGGAGGGAUCAGAUCUCUGGAGCAGCAAUCUCGUCCUUCCAUAAGAUGGACUCGAGCACCAUCAAACCAGCCUCCAGUUUCCAGUCCGACUCACAGCAGCAGGUAUACUUGACAGACGACUUCGAUGUUCUGGAGGACGUCGAGGAUUUGGGCCAGCGGAUGCUAUCUUUGGCACAUUCUCUUUCGACCUCCCAUGCCCCCAUCUCCUUGUACAAGGCGGACGAGCUGGUUAGCACAACAUCCAAAUUAGAGAGGAUCUCGGUGGAUUUCUACAAUUCUACCGAGGCGGCAAUGGAGGAGGCAGCGGAGGAGGAGAGGGAUAGGAUGGUGGAGAUUCGGAAGACAGAAGGAGAAGGUACUGCUGAGGAGUUGGAUGAAGAGAUGGAGAUAAGGAAGACGAAGCAGACUCAGGAGAAGAAGAUGAGGAAUGAUGAUGAGCUGAGCAAGCUUUUUCUGUCCCACGAAUUCUUGCAACUCUCCUCCAAUGUCCUGGAUAGACCCUACUGCUACAAAAAUGAGUUGGCCAUGCUGUUUACGGUGGAGGAAGAGGAGGAGUAUGAGAGGGUGAUGGAGGCAGAGAGGGAGAUGGAGAGGCAGAGGGCGAAGAGUAAGCAGAGGAGGCAGAGGGAGAAGAACAAGCAGCAGAUUAUGGUGAAGGAGGAGCGCGUUGCUGAUGAGCAGCAAACAAAAUCUCAAACGGAGCAACUCAAAGAGUGGAGGAUGAUGAGCUGGAAUUUUUCGCAGGCCACCGUAGCACCUGGGAACGCUCUAGUGGCAGCAAGGCUGGGCGGUUCGGUGGCUUCGAAGAUAAAAGUAACGACAUUAAGUCCUCUCCAAUUUACGCACUGCACACCCGGUAUCCUUCUGCCCCGUGCCGCUGUCACUGAAAGAACGUUGCAAAUCUACUCAUUCAAACUUGUUGGACUAACGGAGCAGCUGAAGUGGCCACUCUCUGUUUAUGGCGUGGUUGCUGCCCGAGACACCGUAGACCGCAACCGCAACCUUCUCUUCUCUCGGUCGAGGAUCAGGGGUCAAUUACUCUCUGGACAUGACUCUUAUCUGCGCUUGACUGGCCCGUCUCGAGCAAUUCUAGUUGGGGAUUAUGUUGACUUUGAAGUUGAACUAAAAGUACGUGAUGGAGAUGAUGAGCACAAUGAUACACAGUUGAUGUGUGUUAGCAAGCGGUAUAAAGAAGCAGACGGCGACGGUGAGCAACCUUUACUCUUCGAUAGCCCAUUCUGUACUGCGGAGUUGAGGUUUGAGCUUUUUCCUACGACGGUCCAGCUCACUGUAUUGUCCGUUCGUGUUGUUGGAGGGGAGUUCCCUUUUAGCUCUGGGGGUCAGGUUGCUUGUAUUGUUUCUGGCCGUGAGAGGGUUGUGCUGUUUGAUUCUACUGAAAAAAUUACUAGAGAAGACGAAGUAGUUUUGGAUGGUUAUGUUCCUUUGUCAAGAAACGCCAUUUCAGUAGAGUUUGAAAAAGGAGUGACUGUUGAGGUAACAGCCUAUGUUGAUUCUGGUUCUAUCUCUGAUCUUGUCCACUUCCCUUCCAAGUGGUGCAACAUUAGUCAGGAUAGAUGUUUCAUCUGUGGUUCUGAGGUGGAGAUUACCGUUGCAUGGUCCCAGGUUGUGAGAGACAAGAUGGAGAUGUUGCUGGAGGGAUACGCUACCCAGGAAGUAGCCUUGAAAGCCAAGUUUGCUUGUACUGGCAUUAUGUUUACUUGUGUUGUGUGCCAUUGCAAAUAUUCUGCUCAGCUGCUUAAUACAUUACCUCCCCCACCAAGCUCUCUCUCUCUAGAUCUCUUAGAUCGUCAGCUGGUCGCGGAGGCACAUAUAGGUUUCGGCUCCACUAAUGGCGACAUCAAGGGCUGGUUCAGGCCGGCUAUCGUGGAGCCUGUUUCUUCGUGGACCCAAUUCUUCGACGAGUUGCUGGAGAAAGACAGGGGCUUGAGGGGGAUUCGGAUUCUACGAGUCGGAGCGGCAUAUGGGGCGGUUCCUGAGCCUGGUAUGCGAGGGAUCGGCACCAGGGCAGGCAAGCGGUUCCUGGCAUGGCAACAUUGGUGCAGCACACCGGCUCAGUCGCCCGGACCAAGGGGAGGCUCGUUCACAAAUGGUGCUGGCCUAAUUCACCGCUUCCAGUUCCAUUGGGCUUUUAUAAGAUGGCAGGGCAUGCAUGCAUUGGCCCUUCUCUACUUGGUACUUCAAUCAAAUGGUGGUAGUCAAUUUUAUCUAAGAGCUAUGUCUGAUAUGUGGCCUCUCAAGUGA
Molecule: ribosomal RNA, 2373 nt
Filed under: Triticum aestivum (bread wheat)
Lineage: Eukaryota; Viridiplantae; Streptophyta; Magnoliopsida; Poales; Poaceae
Description: partial small subunit ribosomal RNA
Source: RNAcentral